Molecule: long non-coding RNA, 254 nt
Filed under: Panax ginseng (ginseng)
Lineage: Eukaryota; Viridiplantae; Streptophyta; Magnoliopsida; Apiales; Araliaceae
Description: long non-coding RNA (PGIN_LNC013243)
Source: RNAcentral
GGCUAAACGAAAGGUUCGACAGGGUCGAAAGGGUAUUCAGUAGGGUCGACAUGCGUUAAGGUGAUGAUCGUGGUACUGACAGAGAUAACAGGCUACGUAACCAUCGGGGGCAUGGACAAGAAAGAGUGGACAAAGAAUUAAUUUAGAUAUGUGUAUCGAAAAUGUCUAAAGCUAUAAAGGCACAAAUUGAACAAGUAUGUGAUUAUAUUGACUUGCUUAAGAGUGAAUGUGAAUGGAUCGAUUAUGAGAUUUAU